Molecule: ribosomal RNA, 1333 nt
Filed under: Nocardia sp.
Lineage: Bacteria; Bacillati; Actinomycetota; Actinomycetes; Mycobacteriales; Nocardiaceae
Description: bacterial SSU rRNA
Rfam family: Bacterial small subunit ribosomal RNA
Source: RNAcentral
GGGUACACGAGCGGCGAACGGGUGAGUAACACGUGGGUGAUCUGCCUUGCACUUCGGGAUAAGCCUGGGAAACUGGGUCUAAUACCGGAUAUGACCACGAACUGCAUGGUUUGUGGUGGAAAGAUUUAUCGGUGCGAGAUGGGCCCGCGGCCUAUCAGCUUGUUGGUGAGGUAACGGCCCACCAAGGCGACGACGGGUAGCCGACCUGAGAGGGUGACCGGCCACACUGGGACUGAGACACGGCCCAGACUCCUACGGGAGGCAGCAGUGGGGAAUAUUGCACAAUGGGCGAAAGCCUGAUGCAGCGACGCCGCGUGCGGGAUGACGGCCUUCGGGUUGUAAACCGCUUUUGACAGGGACGAAGCGCAAGUGACUGUACCUGUAGAAUAAGGACCGGCCAACUACGUGCCAGCAGCCGCGGUAAUACGUAGGGUCCGAGCGUUGUCCGGAAUUACUGGGCGUAAAGAGCUUGUAGGCGGUUCGUCGCGUCGUUUGUGAAAACUUGGGGCUCAACCUUAAGCUUGCAGGCGAUACGGGCGGACUAGAGUACUUCAGGGGAGACUGGAAUUCCUGGUGUAGCGGUGAAAUGCGCAGAUAUCAGGAGGAACACCGGUGGCGAAGGCGGGUCUCUGGGAAGUAACUGACGCUGAGAAGCGAAAGCAUGGGUAGCAAACAGGAUUAGAUACCCUGGUAGUCCAUGCCGUAAACGGUGGGUACUAGGUGUGGGGCUCCUUCCACGGACUCCGUGCCGUAGCUAACGCAUUAAGUACCCCGCCUGGGGAGUACGGCCGCAAGGCUAAAACUCAAAGAAAUUGACGGGGGCCCGCACAAGCGGCGGAGCAUGUGGAUUAAUUCGAUGCAACGCGAAGAACCUUACCUGGGUUUGACAUACACCGGAAACCUGCAGAGAUGUAGGCCCCCUUGUGGUCGGUGUACAGGUGGUGCAUGGCUGUCGUCAGCUCGUGUCGUGAGAUGUUGGGUUAAGUCCCGCAACGAGCGCAACCCUUAUCUUAUGUUGCCAGCGCGUAAUGGCGGGGACUCGUGAGAGACUGCCGGGGUCAACUCGGAGGAAGGUGGGGACGACGUCAAGUCAUCAUGCCCCUUAUGUCCAGGGCUUCACACAUGCUACAAUGGCCGGUACAGAGGGCUGCGAUACCGCGAGGUGGAGCGAAUCCCUUAAAGCCGGUCUCAGUUCGGAUCGGGGUCUGCAACUCGACCCCGUGAAGUUGGAGUCGCUAGUAAUCGCAGAUCAGCAACGCUGCGGUGAAUACGUUCCCGGGCCUUGUACACACCGCCCGUCACGUCAUGAAAGUCGGUAACACCCGAAGCCGGU